Molecule: ribosomal RNA, 470 nt
Filed under: uncultured bacterium
Lineage: Bacteria
Description: bacterial SSU rRNA
Rfam family: Bacterial small subunit ribosomal RNA
Source: RNAcentral
GACGAACGCUGGCGGCGUGCUUCAUACAUGCAAGUCGAACGAGAAUCGGUAGCUUGCUAUCGAGGAAAGUGGCGGACGGGUGAGUAAUAUGUAGAAAAUCUGCCCUAGAGCGGGGGACAACAGCUGGAAACGGUUGCUAAUACCCCAUAUGAGCGUACUUGAGAUAGUAUUCUUGAAAACUCCGGUGCUCUAGGAUGAGUCUGCAUCUGAUUAGCUAGUUGGGGGUGUAAUGGACCACCAAGGCGACGAUCAGUAGCUGGUUUGAGAGGAUGAUCAGCCACAAUGGGACUGAGACACGGCCCAUACUCCUACGGGAGGCAGCAGUAGGGAAUUUUGCGCAAUGGGGGAAACCCUGACGCAGCAACGCCGCGUGAUUGAUUAAGCCCUUCGGGUGUAAAGAUCUGUCAGUGGGGACGAAACGUUGACGGUACCCACAGAGAAGCAUCGGCUAACUCCGUGCCAGCAGCCGC